Molecule: ribosomal RNA, 253 nt
Filed under: uncultured bacterium
Lineage: Bacteria
Also listed under: 1 other name
Description: partial 16S ribosomal RNA
Rfam family: Bacterial small subunit ribosomal RNA
Source: RNAcentral
UACAGAGGUGUCAAACGUUGUCCGGAAUUACUGGGCGUAAAGGGCGCGUAGGCGGUCCUAUAAGUCAGAUGUGAAAGCUCUGGGCUCAACCCAGGAAUUGCAUCUGAUACUGUAGGACUUGAGUUCGGUAGAGGAGGGCGGAAUUCCAGGUGUAGCGGUGAAAUGCGUAGAUAUCUGGAGGAACACCCGUGGCGAAGGCGGCUCUCUGGUCCGAAACUGACGCUGAGGUGCGAAAGCUAGGGUAGCAAACAGG